This 575-nucleotide ribosomal RNA is filed under the name uncultured bacterium. RNAcentral describes it as "partial 16S ribosomal RNA". It matches the Rfam family "Bacterial small subunit ribosomal RNA", at positions 355 to 923 of the family's 1533-position model. The record is from RNAcentral.
UGGGGAAUUUUGGACAAUGGGGGAAACCCUGAUCCAGCCAUCCCGCGUGUGCGAUGAAGGCCUUCGGGUUGUAAAGCACUUUUGGCAGGAAAGAAACGUCGCGGGUUAAUACCCCGCGGAACUGACGGUACCUGCAGAAUAAGCACCGGCUAACUACGUGCCAGCAGCCGCGGUAAUACGUAGGGUGCAAGCGUUAAUCGGAAUUACUGGGCGUAAAGCGUGCGCAGGCGGUUCGGAAAGAAAGAUGUGAAAUCCCAGAGCUUAACUUUGGAACUGCAUUUUUAACUACCGGGCUAGAGUGUGUCAGAGGGAGGUGGAAUUCCGCGUGUAGCAGUGAAAUGCGUAGAUAUGCGGAGGAACACCGAUGGCGAAGGCAGCCUCCUGGGAUAACACUGACGCUCAUGCACGAAAGCGUGGGGAGCAAACAGGAUUAGAUACCCUGGUAGUCCACGCCCUAAACGAUGUCAACUAGCUGUUGGGGUCUUCGGACCUUGGUAGCGCAGCUAACGCGUGAAGUUGACCGCCUGGGGAGUACGGUCGCAAGAUUAAAACUUAAAUGAAUUGACGGGGUCAUA